UUAUUUUAUACUUUAUUUUCUUUCAUCUUUUAAAACUUUUUUUAAAUUUAUUUUCUCUAUAAUUUAAACUUAGUUUAAAUAAUCAAGUGUCCCGUAACCUUUUUAAUUAUUCUACUCCAAGACAAAUCAGAUUGACAUUUAGUUGAGACAGAUCAGGCUGACAGAUUACAAGACAAACACCGGGUUUUCAAAUACCAGAUUCUCAGAACCGGUAAUGGAAGUACAUUGAUGACCCAAUCCAAUUGAUUACUCAAAGGAUCAUUAGAAGCAGUUUUCCAUGUUCGACAAAGAUGAUUGUGAUUCGAAGAAGAUUCCAUUGAAGACUAAUUUGGUACUACUGACAGUGGAUUUUGAAGAAGAUACUUCAGGCCUUGAUCUGAGUAAUUACUCCUACUUGAUUAUCAGAUCACCAGAUCAGGAUGGGA
Molecule: long non-coding RNA, 425 nt
Filed under: Daucus carota (carrot)
Lineage: Eukaryota; Viridiplantae; Streptophyta; Magnoliopsida; Apiales; Apiaceae
Description: long non-coding RNA (DCAR_LNC007397)
Source: RNAcentral